GGAACUCGUAUUAAUACCGCAUACGACCUACGGGAGAAAGGGGUUCAGUUUACUGCUCUCGCUAUUAGAUGAGCCUAAGUCGGAUUAGCUAGAUGGUGGGGUAAAGGCCUACCAUGGCGACGAUCUGUAGCUGGUCUGAGAGGAUGAUCAGCCACACCGGGACUGAGACACGGCCCGGACUCCUACGGGAGGCAGCAGUGGGGAAUAUUGGACAAUGGGGGAAACCCUGAUCCAGCCAUGCCGCGUGUGUGAAGAAGGCCUUUUGGUUGUAAAGCACUUUAAGCAGUGAAGAAGACUCCAUGGUUAAUACCCAUGGACGAUGACAUUAGCUGCAGAAUAAGCACCGGCUAACUCUGUGCCAGCAGCCGCGGUAAUACAGAGGGUGCAAGCGUUAAUCGGAAUUACUGGGCGUAAAGGGAGCGUAGGUGGCUCUAUAAGUCAGAUGUGAAAUCCCCGGGCUUAACCUGGGAACUGCAUCUGAAACUGUAGAGCUAGAGUAUGUGAGAGGAAGGUAGAAUUCCAGGUGUAGCGGUGAAAUGCGUAGAGAUCUGGANNGNGAAUACCGAUGGCGAAGGCAGCCUUCUGGCAUAAUACUGACACUGAGGCUCGAAAGCGUGGGUAGCAAACAGGAANAGAUACCCUGGUAGUCCACGCCGUAAACGAUGUCUACUAGUCGUUGGGUCCCUUGAGGACUUAGUGACGCAGCUAACGCAAUAAGUAGACCGCCUGGGGAGUACGGCCGCAAGGNUUAAAACUCAAAUGAAUUGACGGGGGCCCGCNACAAGCGGUGGAGCAUGNUGGUUUAANUUCGAUGCAACGCGNAANGAACCUUACCUGGUNCUUGNANCAUNAUCNUAGAAUCCNUGCAGAGAUGCGGGNANGUGCCUUNCGGGNAAUUAGAAUACAGGUGCUNGCNAUGGCUNGUNCGUCAGCNUCNGUGUCGUGNAGANUGUUGGGUUAAGUCCCGCAANCGAGNCGCAACCCUUGUCCUUAGUUACCNAGCGGGUUAAGNCCGGGAANCUCUAAGGAUACNUGCCNAGUGANCAAACNNUGGAGGAAGGCGGGGACGACGUCAAGUNCAUNNCAUNGGCCCUUACGACCAGGGCNUACACACGUGNCUANCANAUNGGUAGGUACAGAGGGCAGCUACACAGCGAUGUGAUGCCAAAUCUCAAAAAAGCCUAUCGUAGUCCAGAUUGGAAUUCUGCAACUCGACUUCCAUGAAGUAAGAAAUCGCUAGUAAAUCGCGGAUCAGAAUGCCCCCGGUGAAAACGUUUCC
Molecule: ribosomal RNA, 1279 nt
Filed under: uncultured Psychrobacter sp.
Lineage: Bacteria; Pseudomonadati; Pseudomonadota; Gammaproteobacteria; Moraxellales; Moraxellaceae
Description: partial 16S ribosomal RNA
Rfam family: Bacterial small subunit ribosomal RNA
Source: RNAcentral